RNAcentral lists this ribosomal RNA (274 nucleotides) under uncultured bacterium. Its description in RNAcentral is "partial 16S ribosomal RNA". It matches the Rfam family "Bacterial small subunit ribosomal RNA", at positions 523 to 796 of the family's 1533-position model. The record is from RNAcentral.
AUACGGAGGGUGCAAGCGUUACUCGGAAUCACUGGGCGUAAAGCGCGCGCAGGCGGGCUGAUAAGUUGGAUGUGAAAGCCUACGGCUCAACCGUAGAACUGCAUCCAAAACUGUCAGUCUAGAGUGUGGGAGAGGAAGAUGGAAUUAGUUGUGUAGGGGUAAAAUCCGUAGAGAUAACUAGGAAUACCAAAAGCGAAGGCAAUCUUCUGGAACACUACUGACGCUGAGGCGCGAAGGCGUGGGGAGCAAACAGGAUUAGAAGCCCCAGUAGUCC